UGUAAGUUUGAUUCCUAGGUAUUUUAUUCUUUUGAAGCAAUUGUGAAUGGGAGUUCACUCAUGAUUUGGCUCUCUGUUUGUUAUUGGUGUAUACAAAUGUUUGUGAUGUUUGCACAUUGAUUUUUAUCCUGAGAUUUUGCUGAAUUUUGCUAUUUUAGUAGAGAUGGGGUUUGCUGAAUGCAGCCCCCAGUCACGUACUCCCUUCUUGGUCAAUCGAUCAUGACUCUCUCACGAUCACGACCCUCUCACACGGACCCUCUUAGGGUUGUGAGUCCUUAAAAGGGACAGGAAUUGCUCACUUGGGGAGCUGGGUUGUUAGAGACAAGUGCCACCACUCCCAGCUAAUUUUUGUAUUUUUAGUAGAGACGGGGUUUCCCCAUGUUGGUUGGCCAGGAUAGUCUCUAUCUCUUGACCUCGUGAUCCGCCCACCUCGGCCUCCCAUACUGUUGGGAUUACAGGUGUGAGCCACUCCACCCAGCCCAGAGAAGGCUUUUCAUACUUGCUUGUCAGCCUCCUGCAUCCUACUCCAGCACCUGGCACUCGCAACCUGUGGGCUGCUCUCAUCCGUGAUCAUCUCUCCCCAGGCCUGCUGUUCCUCGAGAAAGGAAGUUGUACUGGGCAGAUUUCUAGGACAGCCCCCCAAGAGAACGACUCCCUUAUAUCUGCUCCCUGUAUCAUCUCUUCUUGAGUGUGUGCAGAGCUUGUGAUUUGGCCAAGGGGAAGGAAUUUUGCAAAUGUGAUUAUGGUCACACUUGCUUUGUUAAGCACAUUUGCUCAGCUGACUUUGAGUUCAUCCAAAGCAGGAUGAUCUUAGGUGGGCCAGACCUAAUCAGGUGAGUCUUUUAAAGGUGAAGUUUCAGAGAUUCAACCCUUAGCCUCCAAGGAGACAUAAAUGGCCAUGCUGUGAACUGUCUUUGGAGGUGGCAGCUCUAGGAGCUGAGGGCCUUCAUUCAACAAUUGGAAGAAAUUGAAUUCAGUCCACAAACUGAAUAAGCUUGGAAGAGGACACUGAGCAUCUGAUGAGACCCCAGCUGACACUCUGCUUGCAGUAUUGUGACCCUGAAUAGAAGACCCAGUUAAACCCUGCCCAGACCCUUGGCUCAUGGAAACAGAUAAUAACUGGGUGGUGUUUUAAGCUGCUGAGUUUGCACUGGUAAAUCCACCAACAGGAAAGUAAUAUAGACGUUAAAUGGGCCAGGCAUGGUGGCUCAUGCCUGUAAUCCCAACACAUUGGGAGGCUAAGGUGGGUGCAUCACAAGGUCAGGAGAUCGAGACCAUCAUGGCCAACAUGGUAAAACCCCGUCUCUACUAAAAAUACAAAAAGUAGCCAGGCGUGGUGGCACGCACCUGUAGUCCCAGCUACUCAGGAGGCUGAGGCAGGGGAAUCACUUGAACCCAGGAGGUGGAGGUUGCAGUGACCCGGGACCAUGCCACUGCACUCCAACCUGGGCAACAGAGAAUUCAUCUCAAAAAAAAAAAAAAAAAAGAAGUUAAAUGAAUACUUUUGACCAUUGAUGGAAGUUGCUUUCAUUCCCUCUUACUUAAUCAUCUUAGCCCUGAAAGAGGGAUGCUUUAACCCCAUUUGUAACAAGUGAGUCUGAGGCUCAGGAAAGUGAUAGAAUUUAGCAAAGUCCACCUUGCUACCUGGUGGCCCCAGCUAGAACUCUGCCCCAGGUCCAUAUACCUAAAAUCAUUACAGCGUCCACUAAAAUUUUGCCCCUCUCUCGAUGCCUUCCUCUUUAGAAGCCUGUUCCUUCAGGGAUAGAUCCCAACUCAGUGUUACAAGGUACUGAACUCUGAUUUUCACAAAAUAUAAUAACUGCCCCCCAAAAUUAAUAAUAGUAUUUUUGAGCCGGGCACAGUGGUUCAUAUCUGUAAUCCCAGCACUUUGGGAGGCUGAGGUGGGUGGGUCAUGAGGUCAAGAGAUCGAGAGCAUCCUGGACAACAUGGUGAAACCCCGUCUCUACUAAAAAUACAAAAAUUAACUGGGAGUGGUAGCAGGCGCCUGUAAUCCCAGCUACUCGGAAGGCUGAGGCAGGAGAAUCACUUGAACCCAGGAGGCAGAGGUUGCAGUAAGCCGAGACUGCACCACUGCACUCCAGCCUGGCAACAGAGCAAGACUCCGUCUCAAAAAAAAAGUAGUAUGUUUGAGUCCUUAUGUGUCAACCACUGGGCUAUCCCAACACCAAUAGUUAUUAUGAUUAUGAUUAUUUUUUUCCAUUUUAUUGAUGAGGAAACCAACACAUAGAAAGGUAAAGAAACUUGCCAAAGGUGACGGUCACACGGCCAAAGAGCUGUAGAAGCAGCACAGGAAUCCCAGCAAACUCACAGCCGAGGUCUGUUUUCACCUUCACAUCAUAGAGUCCUCAGACUAAAACCCUAACUCUGACCUUCCAAAUCAAAAAUCAUACUCAAGGCCGGGCGCGGCGGCUCAUGCCUGUCAUCUCAGCACUUUGGGAGGCCGAGGCAGGUGGAUCACCUGAGGUCAGGAGUUCCAGACCAGCCAGGCCAACAUGGUGAAACCCUAUCUCUACUAAAAAUACAAAACUUAGCCAGGCGUGGUGGUGGGUGUCUGUAAUCCCAGCAUUUUGGGAGGCUGAUGCAUGAAAAUCACUUGAACCCAGGAGGCAGAAGUUGCAGCGAUCCAUGAUCAUGCCACUGCACUCCAGCCUGGACAAGAGAGUGAGACUCUGUCUCAAAAAAAAAAAAAAAAAUUGUGCUUAAUAAUAGCUUGGAAGUGCACAUAUCUUCUGUGAAGGUUGAUGGACUACAAUUAGCUUCAAAACACAAAUAAGUAACUGUGUUUAAAUGAGUCCUUCUCUGUAAUAUCUAGGGAAAAUCAAUGUGGCUAUUCAUAUUUUGUUUCCCCUUCCAGGCACAGAGAAGUUGCCCAUGACUCUGUGAUCCGUUUUGUCCAAUGAACCAUGAGCAGCAGCAACUUGAGUCACCUCCAGGUGGAAGUGUUAAGAGGCUCUAUGAUCCACCACAUUCCCUUUCCCCUGAAGUGGUGAUCAAGGACACAUGCAGAGAUGGGGCUUUUGUCAGCCUGGAUCCCUGAGUGAACACAAUGAACAGACCACCCCACAAUGCCCUAACACAGCCCAGACAUGCAACGUGACCAAGAAUAAGCCUCACUGUGGCCAGGCAUGGUGGCUCAUGCCUGUCAUCCCAGAACUUUGGGAGGCCAAGGCGGGUGGAUCAUUUGAGGUCAGGAGUUCAAGACCAACCUGGCUAACAUGGUGAAAUCCUGUCUCUACUAAGUACAAAAAUUAGCCAGACAGUGGUGGCAUGGGCCUGUAAUCCCAGCUACUCAGGAGGCAGGAGAAUCACUUGAGUCUGGGAGGCAGAGGUUGCAGUGAGCUGAGAUUGCACUACUGCACUCUAGUCUGGGUGACAGAGUGAGACCCUGUCUCAAAAACAAACAAAUACCUCACUGCAUGAGGCCACUGAGAUUUGGGGAUUGUUGUUACUGCACCAGAACCCAAAUCAUCCUGACCUCUAGGGUGUCCUAACUAGGGUUUCUUACCAAAAGCAAAGGCAUUUUUAAAGUUCGUGACAUUUAAACAAAAGAGCAAAUACCAAUAUCUACCACUUUGUCAGGCUAACAAACCCAAACAAAGCCAACAGCCAGAAGUUAAAAGAAACAGAUCAUUAGGUUGAAAAUAGAACUGUCAAAACAGGCACAACUGACUUCAUUUAGUGAUUGCAAAGAACAUCAGGCAAGACACAGGUAUGGUCAUCAUAACAUUUAUCACAUGCUUAAUUGCACAUGUUUGACUAAGAAAAACAAAAAGUAUUUAACCUCAUCUGUAGUUCAAAGUGCCUAUCUGUGUAUUUAUCUGUUCAUCCUGAUUUAUUUAUUGAGCAACUCUUUUGUGCCAGGCACUGUGCUGUGUUGCAGGAAGUCAGGGACCCCAAACGGAGGGACCAGCUGAAGCCAUGACAGAAGAACGUGGAUUAUGAAGAUUUUAUGGACAAUUAUUAGUUCCCCAAAUUAAUACUUUUGUAAUUUCUUAUGUCUGUCUUUACUGCAAUCUCUAAACAUAAAUUGUAAACAUUUCAUGGACACUUAUCACUUCCCCAAUCAAUACCCUUGUGAUUUCCUAUGCCUGUCAUUACUUUAAUCUCUCAAUCCUGUCAGUCGAGAAGGAUGUAUAUCGUCUCAGGACCUGUAAUAAUUGCGUUAAGUACACAAAUUGUACACCAUGUGUGUUUGAGCAAUAUGAAAUGUGGGCACCCUGAAAAAACAACAGGAUAACAGCAGUUGUUCAGAGAAUUAGAGAGAUAACCUUAAACUCUGACCGCCGGUGAGCCGGGCAGAACAGAACCAUAUUUCUCUUCUUUCAAAAGCAAAUGGGAGAAAUAUCGCUGAAUUCCUUUUCUCAGCAUGGAACGUCCCUGAGAAAGAGAAUGCGCACCUAGGGGUAGGUCUCUGAACUGGCCCCCCGGGGCGCACCUGUCUCUUAUGGUCGAGAUUGCAGAGGUGAAAUAAACUUCAGUCUCCCAUAGCACUCCCAGGCUUAUUAGGAAGAGAAAAUUCCCGCCUAAUAAACUUUGGUCAGACGGGUUGAUCUCAAAACCCUGUCUCCUGAUAAGAUGUUAUCAAUGACAAUGGUGCCAAAACUUCAUUAGCAAUUUUAAUUUCACUUCGGUCCUAUGAUCUCGCCCUGUCUCCACUUGCCUUGUGAUAUUCUAUUACCCUGUUAAGUACUUGAUGUCUGUCACCCACACCUAUUCAUAUGCUCCCUCCCCUUUUGAAACUCCCUAAUAAAAACUUGCUGGUUUUUGUGGCUUGUGGGGCAUCACGGAUCCUACCAAUGUGUGAUGUCUCCCCCAGACGCCCAGCUUUACAAUUUCUCUCUUUUGUACUCUGUCCUUUUAUUUCUCAAGCCAGUCGACGCUUAGGAAAAUAGAAAAGAACCUACAUGAUUAUCAGGGCAGGUCCCCUGAUAUCUGGCGCCCACGUGGUCUUUCUUGUUUCCUAAGUGCAUGAGGGAACCGGAUUCCCUUUGGUAGGUGCGGUGAAACGUCAAUCGGCUUGGCCCACAGAUAAGCGUGUUCAACUCCCCGACGAGUGGAGAUCAUCAAUCCCCUGUCUGGGUACCCACCAGAAGACUCAAGCUUCUUAUGAAUACUGACAAUCAAAACCACAGUGAAGAGACGUCUGUGUCAGAGACUGCCUUCAGAUGUGGUGAGAUCUGUGCCGACUCCUCAGAAACAGGCACACCAAAUCACAAUGGGUGUAAAUCAAUCCUCCCUGAUGACAGUGGAGACCCAUCUAACUAAUCACACUUCUCCUGAUUACCUUUCUUUUUCUCCUUACAAACCUAAAUAUCUCACCAUUUCUGUUAGCCUGAAAAUAACAUCCCUCUGUUCUUCUCUUUCUCCUUCAGCACUCCAUCUCGCUUACACUAGGUUUUAUUUAAUGAUUCUCCUCCUUAUACUUUCUGUCUCACCAGUUUCCUCUCACACUGAUGUACCUGCUACACAUAAUUAUUCUUCUUGGGCUUAGGUGCCUUUUCCUCCACUUAUUCGCCCUCUCACCUGGAUAGAUGCUCCCGCAGAAAUCUACACUAACGAUAGUGUGUGGAUGCCUGGAGCCAUAGACGACCCUUGCCCUGCUCAACCAGGAGAAGAAGGCUGGCCACCACAGUCCUGUCUUUUCUGCCAGAAGCAAGUCAAGUGUUGUUACAAGAACAAGUGUGAAAAACAUUUGCCUGAUUAAGAUUUCUAGCACCACGAAAGUUUGUUUCAAUCCAGCUACACUACUUCCUGACUCAGACUCCACUAUUCCUGCUCAUGACUGUCAAGAACUGUUAGAAACUAUCGAAACUGGCCGAUCUGAUCUUCAAGCUGUGCCCCUAGAAAAGGCAGAUGCCGCCGUGUCCACAGACAGUAGCAGCUUCCUCAAGCAGGAAAUAUGAAGAGCCAGUGCAGCUGUUACCACGGAGACACAUGUGUUGUAAGCUCAAGCAUUACCAGCGAACACCUCAGCCCAAAAGGCUGAAUUGAUCGCCCUCACUCAGGCUCUCCGAUAAAGUAAGAAUAAACGUAUUAACAUUUACACUGACAGCAAGUACGCCUUUGCUACUGUGCAUGUACAUAAAGCCAUCUACCAGGAAAGCAGGCUACUCACCUCAGCAGGUAGCUGUGAUCCACCGCAAAGGACAUCAAAAAGAAAACACGGCCGUGGCCCAUAGUAACCAGAAAGCUGAUUCAGCAGCUCAGGUGGCAGCGAGACUUUCAGUCGCGCCUCUAAACUUGCUGCCCGCAGUCUCCUUUCCACAGCCAGAUCUGCCUGACAAUCCCGUAUACUCAACAACAACAACGGGCUUCGGAUCUCAGAGCCAAUAAAAAUCAGGAAAGUUAGUAGAUUCUUCCUGACUCUAGAAUCUUCAUACCCUGAACUCUUAAAGAAACGUUAAUCAGUCACCUACAGUCUACCACCCAUUUAAGAAGAGCAGACCUACCUCAGCUCCUCCAGAGCCAUUUUAAGAUCCCCCAUCUUCAAAGCCUAACAGAUUAAGCAGCUCUCCAGUGCACAACCUGCGCCCAAGUAAAUGCCAAACAAAGUCCUAAACCCAGCCCAGGCCACUGUCUCUGAAAAAAGUCGCCAAGAAAAAAGUAAGAAAUUGACUUUACAGAAGUCAAACCACACCAGGCUAAGUACAAAUACCUUCUAGUACUAGUAGACACCUUCUCCAGAUAGACUAAGGCAUUUGCUACCGAAAACGAAACCACCAACACAGUAGUUAAGUUUUUACUCAAUGAAAUCAUCCCUCAAUAUAGGCUGCCUGCUGCCAUGAAGUCUGAUAAUAGAGCAGCCUUCACCUCGCCUAUAGCUGAGUCAGUCAGUAAGGCGUCAAACAUUCAAUAGAAGCUCCAUUGUGCCUAUCAACCCCAGAGCUCUAGGCAAGUAGAACGCAUGAACCACACCCUAAAAAACACUCCUACAAAAUUAAUCUUAAAAAAACAGUGUAAAUUAAGUAAGCCUCCUUCCUUUAACCCUACUUAAAGUAAGGUGCACCCCUUACCAGGCUAAUUUCUCACCUUUUGAAAUCAUGUAUAAUAAGGCACCGCCUAUCUUGCCUAAGCUAAGAGAUGCCAAAUUAGCAGAAAUAUUACAAACUAAUUGAUUACAGUACCUAUAGUCUCUCCAACAGGUACAAGAUAUUAUCCUGCCACUUGUUGCAGGAGCCCAUCCCAAUCCAAUUCCUGACCAAAGUCCUGCCACUUGUUCCAGCCAGGAGACCUAGUGUUUGUUAAAAAGUUCCAAAAAGAAAGACUCACUCCUCCUUAGAAAAGACCUCACACCGUCAUCCUCACGACGCCAGCUGCUCUGAAAGUAGACGGCAUUCCUGCUUACAUUCAUCACUCCCACAUCAAAAAGGCCAACAGAGCCCAGCUAAAAACAUCCUUCUUAGAAAUUCCUAAGGCUCAAUGCUGUGUGGAAGAUUCUGAGAAAGAAAAUAGUUUCCAAUCUUUGGGAUUCCCGAGAUGGUCCAAUCUGCAAAAAGUUCACUGCCAUUUCCAUCAAGGACACUGAGAACAAGAGUCUUAUCUGGAUUGGAUGAGAAGCUUCAGCAGGUGGGAAAUGCACCCUCCACAGGCUCACACCCUUGUGGGCUGUUUCAGUUACCCACUGCACCUAAAGUUAGAAACUUGAAACCACCACAAGCCAUUAUUGCUCAUGACCCUGUGAGUUGCAUGGGGACUUCCUGGCUGGUUUAACCUGGGCUCAUUUCUGUGGCUACCUGCAGCUGGAAGGCCAGCUGGGCGGAACAUCCAGGACGGCCUCAUGCAUGUGCCUAUCAGUUGGUGCUGGAUGUCAGCCGGGGAACCUUGUUUUCCUCCAUGUGGCCCCUCGCCCUCCAGAACCCCUCUCCAAAUGUCUCUUUAAGCAGGAUAGCCAAGGUUUGCUUGGUGCCAGCAUCCAAGAGGGCAAAAAUAUGGGAACUACAAGAGAGCUCUCAAGGCCUAAGACUAUUUGCACCCCAGAAAUCUGAGGUCUCAGUUAAUUCAGAAAGUUUGUUUUGCCAAGGUUGAGGACGCAUGCCUGUGACACAGCCUCGGGACGUCCUAACAACAUGUGCUUAAGGUGGUAGGGACACAGCUUGGUUUGAAACAUUUAAGAGAGACGUGAAACAUCAAUCAAUAUGUGUAAGAUAUACAUUGGUUCAGUCGGGAAAGGCAGGACAACUCCAGGUGAAGGUGAAGGUGAGACAAAGGGAAAGGGCUUCCAGCUCAUAGGUAGUUAAGAGACAAAUGGUUGCAUUCUUUUGAGUUCUUGAUUAGCCUCUCCAAAUGAGGCAAUCACAUAUACAUUUAUCUCAGUGAGCAAAGGGGUGACCGAAUAGAAUGGGAGGCAGGUUUCCCCUAAGCAGUUCCCAGCUUGACUUUUCUCUUUAGCUUAGUAACUUUCUUUUGGGUCGGGGGACAGAGUCUCGCUCUGUUGCCCAGGCUGGAGUGCAGUGGUACGAUCUCGGCUCACUGCAACCUCCAACUCCAGGGUUCAAACAAUUUCCCUGCCUCAGCCUCCCAAGUAGCUGGGAUUAUAGGCGCCUGCCACCACGCCUGGCUAAUUUUCAUAUUUUUUAGUAGAGACGGGGUUUUGUCAUGUUGGCCAGGCUGGUCUUGAACUCCUGACCUCAGGUGAUUUGCCCGCCUCAGCUUCCCAAAGUGCAGGGAUUACAGGCGUGAGCCACCGAGCCCAGCCUAGCUUAGUGAUCUUGGGGCCCCAAGGUUUAUUUUCCUUUCACGGCUAGAAGUUGUUCACCAUCACUUUGGCAGCAUUCCACUGGCCAAAGCAAGUCAUAGGCAGCCCAGAUUCAUGUAGAGGAGUAUAAACUCUACCUCUUAAAGGAAAGAUUGGUUCAAUUAUACUGCACGAGCAUUUGCAGAAAGUUGUACCCAUCUUUGGAAACUACAACACACACACACACACACACACACACACACACACACACACACACACACACACACACACACACACACACACACACACCUUUACAUGCAACCCUCCCUUGAGGUGCAUCUACUUCCAGGCAGAAACAAAACUUGACAGUACUUGACAGAAGAAAAGUAGUGUCCUAAAUGCCAGUUCUCUUCUUACUCAACUUCAGCCUCAUUAUAAGCAGAUUCUAACAGUUUAUGUGUCUUGAGAAACAUUUUAAUUAAUCUUUGGAAUUUAAGAAUUUCAAUUCAUAGCAGUAGCCUGCGCAUAGGAAAUACGCAUAUUGUAAGUUUUUCCUUUCUGAUAAAUCAUGCUGGGGGAACCACAAUGUAACUUUUUUUUUUUUUUUGAGGAGUCUCACUCUGUUGCCCAGGCUGGAGGGCAGUGGCAUGAUCUCAGCUCACUGAAACCUUCGCCUCCCUGGUUCAAGCAAUUCUCCUGCCUCAGCCUCCUGAGUAGCUGGGAUUACAGGUGCACAAGAUGGGGUUUCACCAUGUUGGUCAGGUUGGUCUCAAACUCCUGACCUCUGAUCUGCCCACCUCAGCCUCCCAAAGUGCAGGGAUUAUAGGCGUGAGCCACCGGCUCACGUAUACUGUGACAGUAUAUUGAAAGUUUCUCUUUUUUUCAAAUAAUUAACAGGUUUAACAGAAUGUAUCUCCUGAUCUGUUCCUUUCACUGCAGACAUCUAUUGCCUUUUCAGCCUAGCAGCCCUCCCCUCUAUAGAGACUCACACUUCCUACUGCAGUCAUGUGGCUCUCAUGGGGGCUGCCAUGUUCUCAAAUGACUCCACCCCUCUGGCCUCAGUUGAUUGGUCCAGGGAUGAGCAUCUGGCCUAGAUUGGCCAAUCAGAAUUCUUCCCUUGAAUAUUUUUCAAAACUGGAACUAGACCAAGUUAAUCAUUCUCUGUGAUGACAGGAAUUGUGUGUAGUGAGAAAUACAGGAGCUUUUGUGGCCACGUUUCUUGCCUUAUGGAGAAAAGGCUUGAGUAAGAAGAAAUUAAGCCAGUAUGCAGACAAAGCUAUAGACAGAGAUAGAGAGAGAGAUCUUGUGGUAAGCCCCUUGGUUUUUAUCAUUCUAGUACAUGCUUGCUACUGCAUACAACCAAGACUUUCACCUGAGGGCUUUCUCAAAGUCAGGCAUGGAGUAUGUCAGAAAAGCCACAGAAGCCGGGUGCUGUGGCUCACUCCUGUAAUCCCAACACUGGGAGGCCGAGGCAGGUGGAUCACGAGGUCUGGAGUUCGAGACCAGCCUGACCAACAUGGCAAAACCCUGUCUCUACAAAAAAUAAAAAAAAAUAGCAAGGCAUGGUGGCAGGCGCCUGUAAUCCCAGCUAGUCAGCAAUCCGAGGCAAGAGAAUCGUUUGAACCUGGGAGGCAGAUGUUGCAGUGAGCCGAGAUCAUGCCAUUGCAGUCCAGCCUGGGUGACAGAGCAAGACUAUGUCUCAAAAAAAAAAAAAAAAAGAAGAAAGCAAAGCCAGAGAGUUGAUGCCCUGGGACCAGUCCACAGCCAGUGACGGAUGGGAGCCAGGCUAUAAAUGUUUCAAUAUCUUCGCCCUCUGGAUGGAACAACUUUGAAAUGUAUUCCACAUCACUUCCCAGAGGUCCCCAGUGGGGUCAAAUCCUAGUUGCCUGGAGUGGUAAGCUGCUCAUUGAAGCCCCCUGUGUGGCCUCCUGCCUUUCCAUGAAUCAAUUCCUCACUCCCCUCUUGGUGAUCCCUGGAAUCAUCUCCUAAAUAAUCCACUUGCAAUCCUGUCCCUCUUUCAGGAUCUGCUUGGAGUUGGGGUUGGGGAAUGCAGAGAAAAACAUGAUCCCUUUUCCACUCCACACUAGUAAGACGAGUUUCUGUCACUGACAACCAAGAGUUCUGACUAUUACCUCCUUCUGAGAUAAUUCCUAAAAGGUAUUUGGGAAUUUCCUCACCUCCACCCCACUGCAUAUGUCAUCAAUAUGUAGAUUUCUUAACAAAGUUUAAUGGUAUUCUUUGAUCAACCUCAAGUUUCACAAAACACACUGCACUUUCAUAAGGGCUCCCCAUGACUGACAGAUCAGCCGUUCAAAAGAAGAGAAGUGUCAGAGAUGGGUCUCCUAGACUCGCGUAUUUUUCAGUAGAAUCUGGGUCAGGAUAUUGUUGUCGGGAGAUGCUUCUGGAGCUCUGGGACCCACAAGCCUGCGUGUCAUGGUGGAGUAUUAGGACAACUUGAAAACAUAGUGGCAGGAGGAGGCUUCCUCUCUCCCCUUCAGUUCAUCCUCCACCACACCCAAUGUGCUCAGCAGAUGUUGGUUAAAUGAAUAAUGGGGCCGGUCAUGGUGGCUCAUGCCUGUAAUCCCAGCACUUUGGGAGGCUGAGGCAGGUGGAUCACCUGAGGUCAGGAGUUCAAGACCAGCCUGGCCAUAGAGGCAGAAGAAGCACUUGAACCUGGGAGGCAGAGUUUACAGCACGCUGAGAUGGCACCACUGCACUCCAGCCUGGGUCACAGAGCAAGACUCAAAAAAAAAAAAAAAUGGAUUUAUUC
Gorilla gorilla gorilla (western lowland gorilla) is the source of this 11465-nucleotide long non-coding RNA. RefSeq lists it as uncharacterized. NCBI's taxonomy places the organism in Eukaryota, Metazoa, Chordata, Mammalia, Primates, Hominidae. The transcript has 5 exons. The record is from RefSeq and is a predicted model, not a curated record.